This 9268-nucleotide long non-coding RNA is filed under the name Triticum aestivum (bread wheat). RNAcentral's name for it is "long non-coding RNA (TAES_LNC016420)". The record is from RNAcentral. Lineage: Eukaryota; Viridiplantae; Streptophyta; Magnoliopsida; Poales; Poaceae.
CUCAUAAGUAAUCUCGGUCCCACCGAUUCCAUAAACUCAGUCACACCGAGAUGAACCACCUCAGCCAUAUAGCCCAAACCCUAGUAAUUUCGGAUUUUCCGAUUCCAAACUCGGUCUUACCGAAAUUGGUGUUGCCAACCUUCUGUAACCUUCUGUACUCAAAUCGGUGUCACCGAGAUGAGAAAGUCGGUCCCACCGAGAUUGGCAAACCCUAGACUUUGGAAGAAUCGGACUAACCGAGAUUGUAUUUUCGGUCCCACCGAAAAUCCCAACUUUCACAAGAUUUGAACUUUCGGUCUCACCGAGUUGUCAACUUCGGUCUGACCGAGAUUGGUCAAAUGUGUGUAACGGUUGGAUUUUGUGUGGAGGCUAUAAAUACCCCUCCACCUCCUCUUCAUUCGUGGAGAGAGCCAUCAGAAAGAACUACCACUCCUACCUUACAUUUCUGAGAAGAAAACUACCUACCCUUGUGUUGAGAUCAAGUUGCUCCACUCCAACCAUAUGAAACUUGAUUUCUAACCUUCCCAAGUUGCUUUCCACUCAAUCCUUUCUUCCACCACAGCCAAAUCAGUGAGGAGAGUUGAGUGUUCGGGAGAUUAUCAUUUGAAGCACAAGAGCAAGGAGUUCAUCAUCACCAACACCAUCUAUUACCUUUUGGAGGGUGGUGCCUCCUAGAUUGGUUAGGUGUCGCUUGGGAGCCUCCGUCAAGAUGUGGAGUUGAACCAAGAAGUUUGUAAGGGCAAGGAGAUCGCCUACUUCGUGAAGAUCUACCCCGAGUAAGGCUAGUCCUCCGUGGACGUAGGCCAUGAUGGCAUAGACAAGGUUGCUUCUUCGUGGACCCUUCGUGGGUGGAGCCCUCCGUGGACUCUCGCAGCCGUUACCCUCCGUGGGUUGAAGUCUCCAUCAACGUGGAUUGACGAUAGCACCACCUAUCGGAACCACGAGAAAAAUCUCCGUGUCUCCAAAUUGCGUUUGCUCUUCUCCACCUCUUAUUUACUACAUGUGCAAUUUACUUUCCGCUGCCAUCACUCUAGAAUUGCAUGUGUAGGGUGAUACUUGACUUGGUCAUCAUUGUGAACUUGCUAAAAACUUGCCCUAAUCAAAAGGAUAAACUUUUAAGUUGUCAAGUAGUCUAAUCACCCCCCCCCUCUAGACAUACUUCCGAUCCUACAAGUGGUAUCAGAGCUUUGGUCUCCAUUGGAUUGGUUUCCAUUGCAUUGGACUCCAUAAGCUUGGUUUCACAACCUAGGAGAGUAUGGCGUCUAGUGAGGGUAAUUUCCGUAGAGGUCCUUACUUUGAUGGUUCAAAUUUUGCUAGUUGGAAGCAUAAAAUGAAAAUGCAUAUUCUUGGACAUAACCCUGCCGCAUGGGGCAUUAUUUGUGUUGGCUUGCAAGGUGAGUUCUUCGAGGAAGGAAAAGUUCCGGAUCGCGAAGCUACAGCGGAUGAGUUGCGGAUGUUACAGAACAAUGCUCAAGCUUGUGACAUUCUCUUCAAUGCUUUGUGUCCCGAGGAGUUCAACAAGAUCAGCCGUCUUGAGAAUGCAAAAGAGAUUUGGGAUACUUUGGUCGAAAUGCACGAAGGUACCGAGUCCGUGAAGGAAUCCAAGCUAGAUGUUCUUCAAGGUCAACUUGACAAGUUCAAGAUGAAGGAAGGUGAAGGGGUCGCUGAAAUGUACUCUAGGCUUGCUCUCAUCACCAAUGAGAUGGCAGGCUUAGGAAGCGAAGAAAUGACCGACCGAUUCAUCAUCAAGAAGAUUCUCAGAGCUUUGGAUGGAAAGUAUGAUACCGUGUGCACUUUGAUCCAAAUGAUGCCAAACUACAAGGAUCUCAAGCCUACCGAAGUCAUUGGAAGGAUUGUUGCUCAUGAGAUGACACUUAAAGAUAAGGAAGAGCUUCACAACAAGUCAAGUGGUGCUUACAAAGCUACAGUUGAAGCUCCCACAACCUCAAGUGACAAGCUAGUUUCCAAUGAAGAGAUAAGCCUAAUGGUGAAGAACUUCAACAAAUUCUACAAGAGUAGAAGCAAGGAAAGAAGCUCAAAGUCUAGAUCAUAUGAUGAAAAGAGAUCUUCUAGUCGUGAUCGAAACUGCUACAAUUGUGGAAGACCCGGACACUACUCAAAUGAGUGUUCGACUCCCCACAAGAGAAGAGAAGAAUCUCCAAGAAGAAGAAGCUCAAGAGAAGAGUCGCCUCGGAAAGAGAGAAGGAGUAGAGAUGAUCGUUAUGAACGAAGAUCCUCUCGGAGAAGCAAGGAUUCGGAAAGGAAAGACAAGUCAUCAAGGAGCUACACAAGAAGAAAACAUCAAGCUCAUGUUGGUGAAUGGGUUUCCGGCUCCGACUCCGACAAUCACUCCGAAAGAAGCUAUAACUCCAACUCCGAAUACAGUCAAGAUGAAGGUGUUGCCGGUCUUGCUCUCGUAUCCUCCAACUCCAACUCCUAUGACUUGUUUGAUUCACCAAAUGAGGGAAUUGGAAGAUGCUUCAUGGCAAAAGGCCCCAAGGUAUCACACCCUGAAUUUAUUGACUUUGAUAGUGAUGAAGAUGACUUGCUUGGUGAAGAUGAGCUUUUACAUGACAAAUCUAGUGAGCUUAGUAAUGAUGAACCUGCUAAUAGUCUUUAUAGUCGAGAAGAGUCGAAUGACAAUGCUAUGAAGGUGAUUGAGCGUCUAACUAAAGAACUAAACACUCUUAAGUUAGCUCAUGAAACAACUCAAGAAGAUCAUAGAGAGCUCCUAAGAUCUCAUGAGAAGCUACGCUUCGAGAAGCUCAAUCUAGAGCAAGAACAUGAGUUUCUAAAAGCUAUCAAUGACGAUCUUCGAAAGAAGAGUUCUUCAUAUCUUGCCAAACGACUUCUCUUGUCUAAUUUCUUGCCACCUAUUAAAACUAAGCAUGACAAGCAUAAGAAAAAUUCUUCAUCUAGUAGUAACAAUAAUCAUGCUAAAUCCAAUAUUGUUACUUCUAGUAAUUCUCUUGAUUCCACUAACAAUGUUUCAAGCCAAGUUUCACUUGAGCAAGAAAAUAGUCUAUUGAAAGGGAUUAUAGAGAAAGGUGUCUACAAGAGCCUUGCCGGAAGCAAGAACUUUGAGUAAAUUUUUCGCAAGCAAGGAAGGCACCGGAAGAAUCAAGGAAUUGGUUUUGAGCGAAGAUUCAACGCCGAGGGUGUUGAAUGGGAAGAAGGUCAAUAUCCCACUCCAAAGUUUGUUUCUCAAAAGGAGAAGUAUGAUCCUACUUCUUCCAAUGUGGAACAAGCUCAAGAUGACCUUCCACCACAAGACCACAAGCUAAAAGGCAAGGACAAGCUUCAAGAGGAGAUUGAUGCAUUCAUUGAAGCACCCAAGGCCAUGGUCAAGUGGGUUCCCAAGGCAACUUCAAGUUCUACUUCGACAAGCUCAACUACUACCCCAAGGAUUCCCAUCAAGAUGAUGUGGAUCCCGAAGAAGAAGAACUAGAGAGUUCUUGAGGGUGACUCCGCCAAUAUACUUCACUCACAUGCAUUUUGGCAAAGAACUUGUGCAAUCAACUUCCACAUCUUGCACUAGUUCAUGGAGUCACAAACCCUCAUGUUGGUAAGUCAAGGGACAAGGUAAUCAUUGCUUUCAUGGACAUCAUCUAUUGUGUACUUCAAUCUAUGUCCAUGGAUAUCCUUGUUUGUUCCUUGUGGGACUAACCCAUGUAGGUAUUGAAAGUGCCCGAAUCCAAAGGAUUGCUCCCAACUCUUGAUGAUCUUCAUCAACAUUGAGCAUCCACAUCUUCAACAUCUACAUGAAGUCUUCAACGACAACCCAAGGUUAGUUUGACCCUUUAAAAGGGGUUCUCACAUCAAGGGGGAGCUUUGCUCUAAAGAAAUGAGCUAAAGCAUCUUCAAAUGAUGUGAACACAUUAAUGCUUUAUGUAAAAGUGGUAACCCCACUUGUGCUUAAACGAUGAGUAUGACCUAUGAUCAAAUGUUCUCAUUUGACUCCUAAGUCAAUAUACUCAUAUAUAGAUGACCUAGUCAUCGCCAAAUUGUGUGCUAGUUGCUAGUGUUUUGAUUGUGCAUGUUUGACACAUAUUUCAUUUGCUAUCUUAUUGUGUGAGCAUGUUGGAUGCAUGAUUUUAUCCAUUCAAGGACAUCCAUUUGCUGCUUUGGUCUUUUGGAUUUUUCUUUUUGACCAAAUGGAUGGACAAGAAUGCCUAAGUUCCUCCCCUAGCUAUCUAUGCUUUCUUGUCUCAAACUCUAUUCAUGCUUAUAUCACAAACUUUGAACAAGACUUUUUCGGACAGACCGAGUGAGGAGCACUCGGAGCCACCGAUCCGUCAAAAGCUUAAAUUCCAAAACCUUCUAAGUAUUUUCGGUCAAACCAAUAUACUCAAAUCGGACAGACCGAAAUCACUUGGAUUGAUCUAGGUUUUCACCUCGGUGAAACCGAGUUGUAAAUUUCGGCGUGACCGAUGUGAGUAACUGCACGCAGUUAACCAUCUCGGUCCCACCGAGUUUUCCAACUCGGUCCCACCGACAACCGAAGGGUAUAUAUACCCGAGGGCAGCGCGCGUUGAUUAUUCCUUCAAAACGUCUCGCCCUCAAACCCUUCGCUGCCGUCGCCGUGGUCUACGGAUCGUCUCCGCCGUCGCCUGUGCGCCCUCGCCGCGGGUCUCCAUCGCCGUCAACGGUCAAUCUCACCGCACCGUUGCCGCCGUAGUGAAACUCCACCAAGUUGGGUGAGUUUCAUCCCUCUCGUGCUUCAACCUCUGAUUCAAUGCACGAUAGGUUUUGCCUAGCUUCUUGCCAAGUUUGAAAUCUUCCUAUCCAGCAGAUUAGAUCUUAGAACAAAAUUCGAGUGAAAAUUUUAGGGUUAGGUUUCCGCCGAACACAUCUCGGUGUGACCGAUUCUACAUUCUCGGACUGACCGAUUUGGCCUCUGGCCAUUGCACUGCACUUUUCGGUUCAACCGAGUUGUGCAAAUCGGUAAGACCGAAAUGAGGAUUUAGUGAAACCCUAGUGCUCUCGGCUAGACCGAAACCCAUUUCGGUCCAACCGAAAGUGGUGUGAACGGUUAGGUUUAGACACUUCGGAUUCACCGAAUUUUAGACUCGGUCAGACCGAAAUGCAUUCUGUGAAAACCUAAAACUGAAGUUUGAACUCAUUCAUUUUGCAAAAUCCUCUGCAGUUUGUGAUAACUCUUCUAUUCUGCCUAUACCUAUUCUAUUCACAGGUUGUCAGUCAUGUCUGAUGCAAGUGACAGCCAGAACAGGUCUGAAUCACCAGUUGCAAUUCCAGAGGCAGUUACAAGUCCUGAAGCAAGCAGUUUUUCAGAUGAUGGAGAGAGGAGCACUCCAAGUGGAUUGCCUCCUGCUGCCACCAGGGCCAGGAAGAAGAGGAAUUCAGAUGAGGAAGACUCUGACUUUGUUGCUGAUGAGGAGAUUACUUCAAAGCCAAAGAGGAAAGUGGUUGCCAAAGGCUAUCAAGGGCAACAAACAAAGAAAGGCACCAGCAAAGAGAAGAAAUCCACAGUUGCAAAGAAGCUGAGCAUGGAAGAAGAAACCUCCAGCAAGAUAAAGAAAACUUCCAAGAGGAAGAGGCUAGUUCAUGAUGAAGCUGAUGAUGAUUCUGAUGAGGAAGCACCCCAGCCUCCUCAGAAGCAAAAGUUGAUGGGAGAUGCCAUCAGGGCAGGAGCACCCACUAAAUCUAAGCCAUCAGCUCCAGCAAAGGCAGCCCAAGCCAAACCUGCUGCCAAGCCAAAGAAAACAGUGAGAAACAUUCCUGCUUCAAAGAAGAAGAAGGAUAAUGUGCCACCUGCUGAAUCUGAUGAAGAGGCACAUGUAUUGCUGAAGCUCAGACAGAAAUUGCCAGUCCAUAAUGAUGCUCAUCCUCGAGCAGAAAAUAUGAAGGAAAGGAAGGACAAAGGUCUCAGGCUAUGGAGGCAAGUUGAUCCAUAUGCCACCAGGAGAAGGACAGCUGUUGACUCAAGGUUCCACACCAGAGAGCAACAAGAUUUCUAUGAGACAGUGCUCAUGGACAAGAAGCCAAUUGUUGCUGACACCAGAUACGUUGACUGGGAUUACAUCGACAGUGAAGAGCACAGAGACUACUUCCCACAUGUGCAUGAGAGCUUCACUGCAUGUGGAGUUGCAGAGUUCGUUGGUCAGAAAUUGACUGCUUGGAAUGAUGAAAUGAUCAUGCAGUUCUAUGCCACCGCACACUUCUAUCCAGAUGGCAGAAUUGUAUGGAUGACAGAAGGCCAGAGAUUCUCCUCAACAGUUGAGGAAUGGAGAGCAUUGCUGAAUGCUCCAGCAUCAAGAGAUGAUGAUGUUGAUGUUUAUGGAAUUCCCAAGAAGAAUCAUGAGUCUAUGAAGAACAUGUACAAUGAGGUACUAGCCAAGGAUGUUGAGAUAUGGAAGCUUGGAUCAGUAUAUCAUCUUCAGGCAGGUCUCCCAACCACUAACACCAUUCUGAGGCAUACUUUGAUGCCCAAGUCAGGAGACCACCGCAUGAUAAGAGGCUAUUCUAUCAACAUGCUGCACAUUCUAGAUCAGAAGGCACCUUUUAAGGUGAUGGACCUGAUAGUUGAGACUAUCAAGAGGACAGCAGCAGACCAGAAGAGGUCAUGUGGGUUUGCCCCGCACAUUCAGAUGCUCAUCAAUGCCAAGUUUGGCACGGGCACCUACCUGUUGGAUAGACCCCACUUGCCACUGCAGCCUGAACAUGAAGAUAAUGAAGUCGUAAUGACUGAGGAUGAUCCCACAUCUGUCGAAGGACAAGCUAAGUCUGAAGCUGCCAAACAAGCUAAAGCUGAGAAGGAAGCAGCAGCAGCAGCAGCCAAGCCCAAGAGCGUUGGAGAACAACUUCUUGAAGCCACUCAGAGGAUUGAACUACGCCUGGCCAGCAUAGUGCAGUCUCAGGAGAGUCUUGAGAGGAUAGUUGAAGACAAGUUCCAUGCUCUGGAUGUCAAGCUGACUGAAGUGCAGGUCACCGUCAACAAGCUUGAGGCAGACAUCGAGGAAGCGAAGAGGGAGAAGGCAGAGCUCAUGAAGGAGAUGGAAGGUGAUAUGGUCCAGGAUGACUAUGAGCAGCCUGCUCCAGUGCCCACAAAGCCCAGAUCAGCUGCUAUUCCAGUGACAGACCCCAGGGCUACUACAUCAGCACCUCCCACAGCUCCGUCAGUUCCAGCUCCAGCUCCAGUGUCCACUCCUCCAGCUCCACAGACUUCAGCAGAAGCUUUUGCAGAUGCAGCUAUCUCCACUCCAUCGACGCAGACAGGAGCCGCCAGCAGAGUCCCUAGUGACGCUUAGCUCUAUACCUUUCGAACUUUUUGGUAACUUGUUGCCAAAGGGGGAGAAAUUGUAUAGAUCAUAGGACUUUGAGAGAGAGAGUGCUCGUUUUUGCUCUUUCGUUUGCGGUUUUCCUUGAGAUACUUUUGAGUUCUUCGAGACAUUUCGUGUGUUUGAUACUAUGUUUGCUCUAUCUUGAUGAGUGCUUGAUCAUACUAUGCUUAAUGUGUGCUUAAUGCUUAUCAUAUUCUAUUCAUAUCUUGUAUGAUCACUUACUCAUGUCUUGGUGAUUGGGUGCAUGCUAUUCAUUCUUAUCAUUUUGUGCACUCCACCAAGAUGUAUGUGACAUGGAAGAGUGACCCAUGAUCCUAAUCGAUUGUGCAUUUGCAUUCAAGCGCAAAUCUUAAAUAAUGCACAAAUUUAGGGGGAGCUCUUGCUUAUCACAUACUUCUCAAAGCGACGAUGUUAUUCAUUGAUUAUAUCAUUUGUCGAAGCUUUGAUCUAUAUGUUGUCAUCAAUUACCAAAAAGGGGGAGAUUGAAAGUGCAACUAAUCCCCGGGUGGUUUUGGUAAUUAAUAACAACAUAUAUAUCAUUGAACUAAUUAUUUCUUGAGAAUAUUUCAGAAAGUUCAGUGAUAUGGGUAUGGCAAUGACUGAUGAUGUGGACCCCUCAAAAUGCUAAGGAAAACAUUGGCAAAAGCUCAAGACUCUAUUUUUUGGUUUAGUGAUCCAAGAUCACAUUGAGUCCAUAGGAAAGCCAAUACUAUUAAAAGGGGAUGAGGUUAUGAUGAUGAUCUGGUUGCUCAUUGUGCUUGGUGAUUUAUCUCUCAAACUAUCAGCAAUCUUUCAUUCCAACAAACUCAUAAGUAAUCUCGGUCCCACCGAUUCCAUAAACUCAGUCACACCAAGAUGAACCACCUCAGCCAUAUAGCCCAAACCCUAGUAAUUUCGGAUUUUCCGAUUCCAAACUCGGUCUUACCGAAAUUGGUGUUGCCAACCUUCUGUAACCUUCUGUACUCAAAUCGGUGUCACCGAGAUGAGAAAGUCGGUCCCACCGAGAUUGGCAAACCCUAGACUUUGGAAGAAUCGGACUAACCGAGAUUGUAUUUUCGGUCCCACCGAAAAUCCCAACGUUCACAAGAUUUGAACUUUCGGUCUCACCGAGUUGUCAACUUCGGUCUGACCGAGAUUGGUCAAAUGUGUGUAACGGUUGGAUUUUGUGUGGAGGCUAUAAAUACCCCUCCACCUCCUCUUCAUUCGUGGAGAGAGCCAUCAGAAAGAACUACCACUCCUACCUUACAUUUCUGAGAAGAAAACUACCUACCCUUGUGUUGAGAUCAAGUUGCUCCACUCCAACCAUAUGAAACUUGAUUUCUAACCUUCCCAAGUUGCUUUCCACUCAAUCCUUUCUUCCACCACAGCCAAAUCAGUGAGGAGAGUUGAGUGUUGGGGAGAUUAUCAUUUGAAGCACAAGAGCAAGGAGUUCAUCAUCACCAACACCAUCUAUUACCUUUUGGAGGGUGGUGCCUCCUAGAUUGGUUAGGUGUCGCUUGGGAGCCUCCGUCAAGAUGUGGAGUUGAACCAAGAAGUUUGUAAGGGCAAGGAGAUCGCCUACUUCGUGAAGAUCUACCCCGAGUAAGGCUAGUCCUCCGUGGACGUAGGCCAUGAUGGCAUAGACAAGGUUGCUUCUUCGUGGACCCUUCAUGGGUGGAGCCCUCCGGACUCUCGCAGCCGUUACCCUCCGUGGGUUGAAGUCUCCAUCAACGUGGAUUGACGAUAGCACCACCUAUCGGAACCACGAGAAAAAUCUCCGUGUCUCCAAAUUGCGUUUGCUCUUCUCCACCUCUUAUUUACUACAUGUGCAAUUUACUUUCCGCUGCCAUCACUCUAGAAUUGCAUGUGUAGGGUGAUACUUGACUUGGUCAUCAUUGUGAACUUGCUAAAAACUUGCCCUAAUCAAAAGGAUAAACUUUUAAGUUGUCAAGUAGUCUAAUCACCCCCCCUCUAGACAUACUUCCGAU